This is a long non-coding RNA of Onychostoma macrolepis, 429 nucleotides long. RefSeq lists it as uncharacterized. NCBI's taxonomy places the organism in Eukaryota, Metazoa, Chordata, Actinopteri, Cypriniformes, Cyprinidae. The record is from RefSeq and is a predicted model, not a curated record. The transcript has 3 exons.
UGGAGUUUGAAAGCAGACUGGAUGCAAACAUUGAAAAAAAAUAUUCUGAAAAAUCUUGACCUGGUGGCACAGAAAGUUAUUAAUGAGUGCCAGAGAAGAGAAGUUGGGGUGGAUAUUCAUACAGAGCUGGCUGAAGCAAAAAAAAACAUGUUGAGUUGGCACACAAAGGUCUCUCAAUGGCUGCUGCUGUCCUGUUGCUUCCACUUUUAUUCAACGAGGAACCAAGCAUACCCAACCCUGUGCUAUGUAUAAAGGGACGUGCCUUUGAUACAGAGUGUCUAAUUGAACUAAUGAUGGAAGGGGAGAAGAUCUGCGAAGUAGAUGACAACACCAUGGCUCUAGUUGUGCUAAUGGCAAUACAUUUCACCUACCUACAUGUAGCAUUAUAUGGUUAGGUUUAGGAUUUGGUUUGCAUGUGAUUAUGCAUCA